This 328-nucleotide unclassified non-coding RNA is filed under the name soil metagenome. Its description in RNAcentral is "partial contains 5.8S ribosomal RNA, internal transcribed spacer 2, and large subunit ribosomal RNA". The stretch from base 1 to 120 matches the Rfam family "5.8S ribosomal RNA", at positions 35 to 154 of the family's 154-position model. The record is from RNAcentral.
GAUGAAGAACGCAGCGAAAUGCGAUAAGUAAUGUGAAUUGCAGAAUUCAGUGAAUCAUCGAAUCUUUGAACGCACAUUGCGCCCCUUGGUAUUCCGAGGGGCAUGCCUGUUCGAGCGUCAUUAUAACCCUCAAGCUCAGCUUGGUGUUGGGGCCUGCUGCACUGGCAGCCCUUAAAAUCAGUGGCGGCGCCAUCUGGCUCUAAGCGUAGUAAUUCUUCUCGCUAUGGAGUCCUGGUGGAUGCUUGCCAUCAACCCCCAAUUUUUCUAUGGUUGACCUCGGAUCAGGUAGGGAUACCCGCUGAACUUAAGCAUAUCAAUAAGCGGAGGA